AGAGGGAACCCUGUGAGAAUCCGGGACUGUCCCGCAGCGGUAUGCAGGAACGACCGCCGUCUUUUGGCACUGGUCCCCGCGACUGGGAAGCGACGGCCAUUAGGAGCACCGACCGGUGCGCGCCUGCGAGUCCGAAGACCU
This 141-nucleotide non-coding RNA is filed under the name Mycobacterium shinjukuense. Lineage: Bacteria; Bacillati; Actinomycetota; Actinomycetes; Mycobacteriales; Mycobacteriaceae. The record is from RNAcentral.